Long non-coding RNA from Phasianus colchicus (ring-necked pheasant), 910 nucleotides. RefSeq lists it as uncharacterized. The record is from RefSeq and is a predicted model, not a curated record. Lineage: Eukaryota; Metazoa; Chordata; Aves; Galliformes; Phasianidae.
GGGCAUCCCUCUUUUGUGGAGUUUUUGCCUGUGAGCCUAUAUCUUCAGAGAUUGGUCCCAAAUUUUGGCAGAUCUGAGAGUGUGGUGAUGUGGAUGAAAGCUAAAUGGUGAUGACCCUGGCAGUGCUGGCUGAGAUAGGAACACGUGGAUCAUUCUGUUCUUGAAGGAGGUAAUUUUCUCUGCCCUCAGUGUCUAAUAACUAUUGCUAAUUUGAAUGUAUGUAUAUAUAAUGCAAUGGAAAGUACAGCAAUGACUGGAUGAAUGGAGUAGCACGGUCUCAGGCUGCAGCAAGUGAGGACUUGCACAAACACAACAGCAGUAGGCACAGAAAUAAAGAAAAGACACUACUUAACUUCAGAAGGCCUCAAGUAUGGAGAGACCUCCCAGAAAAUACCCUCACCUCCACUGCCAGCCCUUAAAUGAGGUCUGGGAAGGGAUGGAUCCUGGCUCCACCCCUUCUGAUCACUCAGGUUACAUUGUGUGCACCUGAGCUCCUCUGGGUUGGCCCUGUCUUCCCACCAGAUGCUCAAUAACUGGUUCAGGCAGUGACCUAGCAUUUCCACUGCAGUAUAUUAUUAAUAAAUGAAAGAAAUUUUAAAAUGUUAUAUAUCUUUCAUCAGUUUGAAAUUCUGGCAGAAAAAGUCUUAUCUGAGUAAUGUGUGUGAAAGCUGCACACCAACAAUUACAGAUGAUGAAAAACAAGACAGCAUACAGAGAUGCUGGAGGAUUUCAUUCUGAGGCACAUGGCUGGAUUUGGAGAUGGGGCCAACAGUUAAUUUUGAUGCUCCUUGGCUGCUCUGCAGCUUCUCUCCUCCUCUCCUGUGAGUUAUAUGGUCCAACAUGGACCAUGUGGGGACAACAGAGGCAGCACUGCUGCUAGGAGGUCUGGACAUCAGCAGCUCUGGGGGCA